Caenorhabditis elegans is the source of this 21-nucleotide non-coding RNA. Lineage: Eukaryota; Metazoa; Nematoda; Chromadorea; Rhabditida; Rhabditidae. The record is from Ensembl.
UAGUUUGAUAUGAUUACUUAA